GACGAACGCUGGCGGCGUGCUUAACACAUGCAAGUCGAACGGAAAGGCCCUGAUUGUGUGGGGUGCCCGAGGGGCGAACGGGGGAGUAACAGGAGAGUAACCUGCCCUAGACUUUGGGAUAACUUCAGGAAACGGGGGCUAAUACCGGAUAGGAGAUCCUGCUGCAGGGAGGGGGGUGGAAAGUUUCGGCGGGUGGGGAUGGACUCGCGGAUGAUCAGCUUGUUGGUGGGGUAGUGGAAUGCCAAGGCUGUGACGGGUAGCCGGCCUGAGAGCGUGACCGGCCUCCUGGCUCCUGCGAUACGCCCCAGUCUCCUAUGGGAGGCAGCGGUGGGGAACCUUGCCCAAUGGUCGGACGCCUGUUGCGGCAGCGCCGCGUGCGGAAUGCCGGCCUUCGGGUUGUGAACCGCUUUCGCUUGUUACGACGCGUGAGUGACGGUACUGGGUAAAGAAGCACCGGCUAACUACGUG
This 468-nucleotide ribosomal RNA is filed under the name uncultured bacterium. RNAcentral describes it as "partial 16S ribosomal RNA". It matches the Rfam family "Bacterial small subunit ribosomal RNA", at positions 28 to 507 of the family's 1533-position model. The record is from RNAcentral.